CUGGACCGACCCUUCGGGGAGCUUGUACAGGUGCUGCAUGGCUGUCGUCAGCUCGUGUCGUGAGAUGUUCGGUUAAGUCCGCUAACGAGCGCAACCCUCGCUGUGUGUUACAAGUGUCACACGGAACUGCCGGUCAUAAACCGGAGGAAGGUGGGAUGACGUCAAGUCAGCAUGGCCUUUAUAUCCUGGGCUACACACACGCUACAAUGGGAAGGGACAAUAGGUUGCGAAGCCGCGAGGCGGAGCCAAUCCAGCAAAACUUCCCUCAGUUCAGAUUGCAGGCUGCAACCCGCCUGCAUGAAGUUGGAGUUGCUAGUAAACGCAGGUCAGCCAUACUGCGUUGAAUACGUUCCCGGGCCUU
Molecule: ribosomal RNA, 361 nt
Filed under: uncultured Anaerolineaceae bacterium
Lineage: Bacteria; Bacillati; Chloroflexota; Anaerolineae; Anaerolineales; Anaerolineaceae
Description: bacterial SSU rRNA
Rfam family: Bacterial small subunit ribosomal RNA
Source: RNAcentral